CUUUACUCUAACUUGGUACUGGCGUAUACGUCUACAUGUGCAGGAUAGGUGGGAGGCUGUGAAGGGAGGGCGUCAGCCCUUCUGGAGCCAUCGUUGAGAUACCACCCUUGUAUUCGUGUACGUCUAACCCCUUAUGGGGGACAGUGCUUGGCGGGGAGUUUAACUGGGGCGGUUGCCUCCUAAAACGUAACGGAGGCGCGCAAAGGUGAGCUAGUACCGGAUGGAAAUCGGUACGAUAGUGUAUUCGCAUAAGCUCGCUUGACUGAGAGACCUACAAGUCGAUCAGAGACGAAAGUCGGCGAAAGUGAUCCGGCACCAACAUGUGGGAGUGGUGUCGCUCAACGGAUAAAAGCUA
RNAcentral lists this ribosomal RNA (355 nucleotides) under uncultured organism. RNAcentral describes it as "bacterial LSU rRNA". It matches the Rfam family "Bacterial large subunit ribosomal RNA", at positions 2099 to 2465 of the family's 2925-position model. The record is from RNAcentral.